This 107-nucleotide small RNA is filed under the name Marmota monax (woodchuck). The record is from RNAcentral. Lineage: Eukaryota; Metazoa; Chordata; Mammalia; Rodentia; Sciuridae.
ACUGGGUUUGGUGGCUCAGGCCUGUAAUCUCAGCUAUUCUGGAGGCUGAGGCAGGAGGAUCAUAAGUUCAGGGUCAGCCUGAGCAAUUUAGUGAGACCCUGCCUCAA